Molecule: transfer RNA, 72 nt
Filed under: Camelus bactrianus (Bactrian camel)
Lineage: Eukaryota; Metazoa; Chordata; Mammalia; Artiodactyla; Camelidae
Also listed under: 2 other names
Rfam family: tRNA
About the family: Transfer RNA (tRNA) molecules are approximately 80 nucleotides in length. Their secondary structure includes four short double-helical elements and three loops (D, anti-codon, and T loops).
Source: Rfam by way of RNAcentral
GAGGGUACAGCUCAGUGGUAGAGCCCAUGCCUAGCGUGCACAAGGUCCUGGGUUCCAUCCCCAGUGCCUCCA